RNAcentral lists this ribosomal RNA (116 nucleotides) under Pteropus alecto (black flying fox). Lineage: Eukaryota; Metazoa; Chordata; Mammalia; Chiroptera; Pteropodidae. The record is from RNAcentral.
GUCUACAGCCACGCCACCCUGAACAAGCCCGAUGUCUGAUCUCGGAAGCUAAGCAGGGUUGGGCCUGGUUAGUACUUGGAUGGGAGACCACCCAGGAAGAGCAGGUAUCGUAGGCA